CGAGCGGCGAACGGGUGAGUAACACGUGGAUUAUCUGCCCUGAGGUGGGGGAUAACCCGGGGAAACUCGGGCUAAUACCGCAUAGGACCGUGAGGUCAAAGGGGGGUCGCAAGAUCUCUCGCCAUAGGAGGAGUCCGCGUCCGAUUAGCUAGUUGGUAAGGUAAUGGCUUACCAAGGCAACGAUCUGUAGCCGGCCUGAGAGGGCGGUCGGCCACACUGACACUGAAUAACGGGUCAG
This 238-nucleotide ribosomal RNA is filed under the name uncultured bacterium. RNAcentral's name for it is "partial 16S ribosomal RNA". It matches the Rfam family "Bacterial small subunit ribosomal RNA", at positions 92 to 334 of the family's 1533-position model. The record is from RNAcentral.